UGCGUAGGCGGCUUCUUAAGUCGGAUGUGAAAUCCCUGAGCUUAACUUAGGAAUUGCAUUCGAUACUGGGAAGCUAGAGUAUGGGAGAGGAUGGUAGAAUUCCAGGUGUAGCGGUGAAAUGCGUAGAGAUCUGGAGGAAUACCGAUGGCGAAGGCAGCCAUCUGGCCUAAUACUGACGCUGAGGUACGAAAGCAUGGGAGCAAACA
This 206-nucleotide ribosomal RNA is filed under the name uncultured bacterium. Its description in RNAcentral is "partial 16S ribosomal RNA". It matches the Rfam family "Bacterial small subunit ribosomal RNA", at positions 568 to 774 of the family's 1533-position model. The record is from RNAcentral.